Molecule: non-coding RNA, 3366 nt
Organism: Podarcis lilfordi (Lilford's wall lizard)
Lineage: Eukaryota; Metazoa; Chordata; Lepidosauria; Squamata; Lacertidae
Source: the annotation of a GenBank genome assembly
UAGACUAAUAUCCUCCUGUGCCCUACUUCACUUCUGCUCUGUGUAUGUGUGUGUGAAUUGAAAAAUGAUGCAAUCUGUGAUUGGAAGCAAGUGUGUUCUUAUGGCAUAUAUGUGCAAGAGCCGUUUAAUGCCAGAGCCUCAAAAUGCUUGCAUUAUUAGAUAAAUGCACAAUUUUAAGAGCAAAGGUUGCUGUGUGUGUGUAGCUAAUGCUUAAUCUUCAAGUGCUUUGUACAUAACAACUGAGCUGUCUUGGCAUAUGAUGAUACGAUAGUAACAUAUAGAAUAUUUGGCACACUGUAUCCUACAGAUAUAAAUAGCUACAACAGCACGCAGUAGCAUGGCUGGCAUAGCUACAGCCAUAUCCUAUAUUACAUUUGGCAACUCUGUCAAACACUGUCACGUUCACUUUCUGUUAGUUGCACUGCCACCAUUUUUAAAAAAUAGAUCCUGGUUAUCAUGCCCUCUGUUUUGAGAUGAGGAGAUCAAGAAUUAAUCUCACCUGCUCUGAAAAGCCAUUUGUCACUCUGGAGCAAGAUGUUUUUGGAUGCAGAGCAGUGGCUUGAGCGAGGAACUGCUAUCAAGCCCAGAAACCACAUAAUAGCCUUCAACUCAGGGCAUCAGAUCAGCCAAACCUGCUUUUUUUAGUUAUUUCUGAAAUUGGAAUCAAUUAUGACUUGAGUGAUUUAUUUGCCAGUUAAUUAUCACCCAGAACAAAAACUGACUGCUGAGGUAAGAAGAGGCAUUAAUUAACAGGCUGAAAAACAACCCAAAAUGCUUAUCUAAUUGGUGAUUAGAAAGUACAAUGGAUAAGGAAGUUCUGAGGUGUUAAAAAUAUUCAUUUUUUAUUACUUGUAACUCUCUGUCCUGUCCAUGUGGUGAUGGAGGAGACUUACACAAUUUUUCCAAGGCAGAGACUGACAAGGGAGAGACUUAAACAAUUCAGUUUCACAAAAAUACCAUUGAACACCCUACUGAUUGGUAUCAUGCAACAAUUAUUGGAUGAACAAUUGAAAGAACUCAAAGCUGAGAUGUGCAGAAUGCUGAAUGAAAAUGGUUCAGAGAAAAACCAGACCAAAGAAUUCACAGAACCUGUGGGGGGAAAGUGUUGAUCAAGAUCUACCUGAAUAUGAGAGUGAAAAGGCAAAGUGGGAAACAGCGGAGAAGGAAAUGAUCUCCACACAGGUGUUUGGAGGACUGAAACAGACAAAUGAUGGCAUUGGGAUGCUGUAAGAGAGGAAUGGAAUUUUGGACAGAGACAUUAAGAAACAUCCAGAGAUGGCAGAGAUAGAGCUGAGAUAGAAAGGCUUGUGUACAAGUUGAAGUGAAUGCAGAAGAGAAAACCACCAAGCUUCUGAUGAUGUGUUUGGAAAACGAAUGGAAGAAAUGGAAAUGGAAUUAUUUUUUCCCUUUAAAUUAAGAUGGGAAAACAUGGCCAAUAGGAAAUGGGACUAGAAAAUAUGGAAUUGGAUAAGAAUUAACAGAAAUACAACAAGUAAGUACAGUGGUACCUCGGGUUAAGUACUUAAUUCGUUCCGGAGGUCCGUUCUUAACCUGAAACUGUUCUUAACCUGAAGCACCACUUUAGCUAAUGGGGCCUCCUGCUGCCACCACGCUGCUGGAGCACGAUUUCUGUUCUCAUCCUGAAGCAAAGUUCUUAACCUGAGGUACUAUUUCUGGGUUAGCGGAGUCUGUAACCUGAAGUGUAUGUAACCUGAGGUACCACUGUAAUUGUUACUAUUACUCUGAUAAGAGUUUUUGCAAUCUCUUGGAGAAAAAAGUCAUUGUACUGGAUUGGAGAAAGACUAUUCUUGACAUUUAGCAAUAAUAACACUAGAAGAAUCCCUUUUAGACUAUUUGUGUGGAAAGAAAACUAAAUGAACGAGAUGUCUGGGACUGAAGACUGGGAAAACACUGCCUAGCAGAAUGAGGAACAGCUGGACGUUACCCUGGGAUCCAGCUAGAUACUAUCCAGGAGUGAAUGUUUUGAAUAUUUUGAAUAAUCUCUUUAUAUACAUAAUUGGCAGGCGGAGAACCGGAAAUCCCCCUUAUUUCUAUCUUCUAGCAUUCUGCUUAUGUUUCUUUCAUAUGAUAGCUUUUGUCUUCUUCUGUUAACUUUACCCAUACUCAUGUUUUGUUCUGUUUUUGAUGUCCUCUAUUCAGAGUUAAUGAGGCUACACAUAGGAAGGUGAUAGAAGGAUGAUGAAGGACCCUGGUAGGGAAGGGAAGAUCUCCCAGGGUGAGAGGCUGGGAGAAGAAAGGGAAGAUCUGCCAGGUGAGAGCUGGGUGGGUGCACCACCUUUUGUGUGGGACAAAGGUUAACAUGCACCUCUGAUAGAGGAUUUUGUUUUGUUUUUCUUCCACUUCUUCUCUCUGUUCUUUCUUUCUUUCUUUCUUUGGUUGUUCUCCUUUUUUCUAUUUUUAUUUAGGUUAGUUUGGAUUUUAUUGUAUUGUAUGCUGAAAAGUUUCAAUAAUUUUUUUAAGCCCCAAAUAUGGACUGCUCAGAGAUGUGGGCUUUGGGGGGGGGGCAGAUUUCCUGUGUGAUGGCUCCAACUUGUGCACUGGGUUCUACUUCAGAAGACAUCUGAAUGAGGAAGUAAACAUAACACAAAUGUGUUAAGUAAUGUAUCCUUGCAGAAGAGAAGCAACUCAACUGCAUACUAAGGAUUGCUCUAGCCCCUGAGGGAUUGACUGAGCCUCUGGGCUUCUAAUUGCCUAUCUCCCACAGUAAUUUUCUGUUAAAAUUAAUCACCACUUUUAUUGUGUUAUAAUUAAUGUAGAUACAGCGGCGGAGUAUAUGCCCGAACUGCCCAGGGCAGGCUCGUGGGGUGCACCCCUGAGGGAGCCACAGUUCAGGGUAGGGGAAGGGUGGGGAAGCUGCUGCCCACUGUCCUCCUGUUCUCCACCGCAGGGUCAGGCCUGACCCAGCAGCGGAGGUGCUGCCACCAGGCGCGAGGUGUGCCGCGGCCAAGGAGGCUCCGCCCAUCCGCCUGCUCUCCUCCCCUGGGUCAGGCCUGACCCAAGGGUGAGCAGAGCUGCGCCAGGCACGAGUAUCUCAGCCAAGGUGCAGCUCCUUCUGGCGUGGUGCCAGGCUCCAAUGAAGGAGCCUUGCCCUAGGAGUGCCUGUUUGCGCCCCCUCUCAAAAUUGCUUGACACCCCUGGUACACCUCUGUGUAGACAUAAUGUAGAUGUAUGUUCUUGCUCAGGUGACUCAAACUCUUAAGUAUCAGUGGAAAGUUUUCCUAACCUCUAAAUUCAAUUUGCAUAUAUUGAAAGCUACCUUUGAUUUGUUCCAUGAUCUCUGCUUUUUCACACAUUUCUGGAAGGCAUUGUAACUGUAUAACCCCCAUUGCACUCUAAGCUUUAUAC